RNAcentral lists this ribosomal RNA (469 nucleotides) under uncultured bacterium. RNAcentral's name for it is "bacterial SSU rRNA". It matches the Rfam family "Bacterial small subunit ribosomal RNA", at positions 28 to 474 of the family's 1533-position model. The record is from RNAcentral.
GACGAACGCNGGCGGCGUGCUUAACACAUGCAAGUCGAACGGGAACCUUUAUUUCGGUAAAGGUGAGAGUGGCAAACGGGUGAGUAACACGUAGGCAACCUGCCGACAGGAUGGGGACAACAUUCCGAAAGGAAUGCUAAUACCGAAUGAAGUCACCGGAGGGCAUCCUCUGGUGAUGAAAGAUGGCCUCUGAAUAUGCUAUCACCUGUCGAUGGGCCUGCGUCUGAUUAGCCAGUUGGCGGGGUAACGGCCCACCAAAGCGACGAUCAGUAGCCGGUCUGAGAGGAUGAACGGCCACAUUGGGACUGAGACACGGCCCAGACUCCUACGGGAGGCAGCAGUGGGGAAUCUUCCACAAUGGGCGAAAGCCUGAUGGAGCAACGCCGCGUGAGUGAAGAAGGUCUUCGGAUCGUAAAGCUCUGUUGCACGGGACGAAAACUGGGUUNGAGAACAUNGAACCNGGGNGACG